RNAcentral lists this long non-coding RNA (326 nucleotides) under Elaeis guineensis (African oil palm). Its description in RNAcentral is "long non-coding RNA (EGUI_LNC030689)". Lineage: Eukaryota; Viridiplantae; Streptophyta; Magnoliopsida; Arecales; Arecaceae. The record is from RNAcentral.
AGCCCAUACCUCUUCUCUCUCUAGGCAUCCUCCCUUGGAGCCAUAAAGAGGGUGGGUGGCAUCAAGGAAGUGGUGUCAAUUAGUUGGCACCACUUGUUUGGUUCCUAUUUUUUUUACUCUCAAAUUUAUUGAGAGUUAGUUACAAUCACUUCUUGAUUGUUGUUCUUCUUGAUUAGUUGAAGAAUCAAGAAAGAAUUUUUGAUUUCUUCAAGAAUAAAGAAAGAAAGAUUAAAAGGGUCAUCAAAGGGGUUCUGUUUCGAUCCAGGUUUGGUUCAAGCCUAUUUAGGCUUUGGUUCAAACAAGCAGGAUUCAAGAGAAAAUAAUCC